RNAcentral lists this ribosomal RNA (253 nucleotides) under uncultured bacterium. RNAcentral's name for it is "partial 16S ribosomal RNA". It matches the Rfam family "Bacterial small subunit ribosomal RNA", at positions 524 to 776 of the family's 1533-position model. The record is from RNAcentral.
UACGUAGGGUGCAAGCGUUAAUCGGAAUUACUGGGCGUAAAGCGUGCGCAGGCGGUUGUGCAAGACAGAUGUGAAAUCCCCGGGCUCAACCUGGGAAUUGCAUUUGUGACUGCACGGCUAGAGUGUGUCAGAGGGGGGUAGAAUUCCACGUGUAGCAGUGAAAUGCGUAGAGAUGUGGAGGAAUACCGAUGGCGAAGGCAGCCCCCUGGGUCAAGAUUGACGCUCAUGCACGAAAGCGUGGGGAGCAAACAGG